AUCCUUCUGUAGUUCAUAAGCAUGAUGAUCAGAUGUUCACGCGCCUGCGUGAUGUGUGCCUCCCUCAAACCUUGUUACAACAUUGGCACAUUACCCAUCUGACG
This is a small nucleolar RNA of Phacochoerus africanus (Common warthog), 104 nucleotides long. RefSeq annotates it as small nucleolar RNA U13. NCBI's taxonomy places the organism in Eukaryota, Metazoa, Chordata, Mammalia, Artiodactyla, Suidae. The record is from RefSeq and is a predicted model, not a curated record. The transcript has a single exon.